GAUGAACGCUGGCGGCGUGCCUAAUACAUGCAAGUCGAGCGAACGGACGAGAGGCUUGCUUCUCUGAUGUUAGCGGCGGACGGGUGAGUAACACGUGGAUAACCUACCUAUAAGACUGGGAUAACUUCGGGAAACCGGAGCUAAUACCGGAUAAUAUUUUGAACCGCAUGGUUCAAAAGUGAAAGACGGUCUUGCUGUCACUUAUAGAUGGAUCCGCGCUGCAUUAGCUAGUUGGUAAGGUAACGGCUUACCAAGGCAACGAUGCAUAGCCGACCUGAGAGGGUGAUCGGCCACACUGGAACUGAGACACGGUCCAGACUCCUACGGGAGGCAGCAGUAGGGAAUCUUCCGCAAUGGGCGAAAGCCUGACGGAGCAACGCCGCGUGAGUGAUGAAGGUCUUCGGAUCGUAAAACUCUGUUAUUAGGGAAGAACAUAUAUGUAAGUAACUGUGCACAUCUUGACGGUACCUAAUCAGAAAGCCACGGCUAACUACGUGCCAGCAGCCGCGGUAAUACGUAGGUGGCAAGCGUUAUCCGGAAUUAUUGGGCGUAAAGCGCGCGUAGGCGGUUUUUUAAGUCUGAUGUGAAAGCCCACGGCUCAACCGUGGAGGGUCAUUGGAAACUGGAAAACUUGAGUGCAGAAGAGGAAAGUGGAAUUCCAUGUGUAGCGGUGAAAUGCGCAGAGAUAUGGAGGAACACCAGUGGCGAAGGCGACUUUCUGGUCUGUAACUGACGCUGAUGUGCGAAAGCGUGGGGAUCAAACAGGAUUAGAUACCCUGGUAGUCCACGCCGUAAACGAUGAGUGCUAAGUGUUAGGGGGUUUCCGCCCCUUAGUGCUGCAGCUAACGCAUUAAGCACUCCGCCUGGGGAGUACGACCGCAAGGUUGAAACUCAAAGGAAUUGACGGGGACCCGCACAAGCGGUGGAGCAUGUGGUUUAAUUCGAAGCAACGCGAAGAACCUUACCAAAUCUUGACAUCCUUUGACAACUCUAGAGAUAGAGCUUUCCCCUUCGGGGGACAAAGUGACAGGUGGUGCAUGGUUGUCGUCAGCUCGUGUCGUGAGAUGUUGGGUUAAGUCCCGCAACGAGCGCAACCCUUAAGCUUAGUUGCCAUCAUUAAGUUGGGCACUCUAAGUUGACUGCCGGUGACAAACCGGAGGAAGGUGGGGAUGACGUCAAAUCAUCAUGCCCCUUAUGAUUUGGGCUACACACGUGCUACAAUGGACAAUACAAAGGGCAGCGAAACCGCGAGGUCAAGCAAAUCCCAUAAAGUUGUUCUCAGUUCGGAUUGUAGUCUGCAACUCGACUACAUGAAGCUGGAAUCGCUAGUAAUCGUAGAUCAGCAUGCUACGGUGAAUACGUUCCCGGGUCU
This 1372-nucleotide ribosomal RNA is filed under the name uncultured bacterium. RNAcentral's name for it is "bacterial SSU rRNA". It matches the Rfam family "Bacterial small subunit ribosomal RNA", at positions 28 to 1381 of the family's 1533-position model. The record is from RNAcentral.